AUGUCCGUUCUCCUGGAGGUGAAGCGGGAUCUGAUUGGGGAUCAAAGGCCAGUGGCAGUGGCUGCCAGCCACCACGUCAUUACGUCUGCGAGGGGUGACAUCUGCGUGUGUUUCUGGAGCAGGACAGAAGCGGGCUCUGUGUGCCCUGGGGAUGCCAUCGCUGAGCUAUUAACGCAGGGAAGUGUAAUGAUCACAGGGGAGGAGAGACAUCAUCACUGUGUCUGCACAGAGGUAGCGUCUUGCUCCGAGCAGCCCCGCUCGGGCGGCCAGCGGUGCCUGCCAGGGUCCUGGCCAGCGGGUGGGAGAUGUGGGAGGUCUGGGAGGUCUGAUCUGAUGCUUCUCCCCUGGUCUCCUCCCGCAGAGAUGUUGCUUUGGUUCCUUGUUCUUGGCGGUGUGGGGUGGACGGUCCAGAGCGGCUGCAGAAGUGGAUCAGGGCAGGUUCCUACUGCAAACUCAGCCACCGCUGGGCCAGCACGACCACCUACAGCGUGUCCUCCCCGUCCCUCUGCGUGCUGUCACCUGCCUCCUCCACCUCCCCUGGGGAGCUCAGCGCCUCAACUGGACAGACUGCGAGGGCUCCCUGGGCUCCGUGCUCCUCUGUCCCGAGUGGGGAAGCCCUGCAGAAGAGGGGUGCUGGUGGCCUGGUGCUGGAAAGCAGCGGGGACGGAAGGUGACAAAGCACAGGGGAGUCCAGAGCAUCCCGGGAUGGGGGGUGUCCCCUGGGAACCCCAAAGCUGGCUUCGUGCAAGGUAUUCACUAGCAAGAGAACUGGGUCUGCUGAGGACAGUGGUGGCAGCCACGCUCCUGAGGCGCUCCAGCUUUCCACAGAGCUGGUACCAGCACCUCCUCAAGGGCUGGUGUGGAGGAUGCCCAGGAUGGGACCAUCUUCUAUCCUUCUUCUGCUCGGCACAGGGGUGGGCAGGUCCCUGUGUCCCCGCCGCUCCCUGCAGGAAGAAAGGGGACAUUCAGCACCAGGCUGGGAGCUCGGCUCAGCUGGCACCUGGGCAAUGA
RNAcentral lists this long non-coding RNA (1011 nucleotides) under Calidris pygmaea (Spoon-billed sandpiper). RNAcentral describes it as "lncRNA (ENSCPGG00000012559.1)". Lineage: Eukaryota; Metazoa; Chordata; Aves; Charadriiformes; Scolopacidae. The record is from RNAcentral.